RNAcentral lists this ribosomal RNA (1034 nucleotides) under human gut metagenome. RNAcentral's name for it is "bacterial SSU rRNA". It matches the Rfam family "Bacterial small subunit ribosomal RNA", at positions 27 to 1070 of the family's 1533-position model. The record is from RNAcentral.
GGACGAACGCUGGCGGCGUGCCUAACACAUGCAAGUCGAGCGGAGACAGUUGGAAGCUUGCUUUUGACUGUUUUAGCGGCGGACGGGUGAGUAACGCGUGAGCAACCUUUCCCAGACAGGGGAAUAACACACCGAAAGGUGUACUAAUACCGCAUAAGACCACGGGAUCACAUGGUUCUGGGGUAAAAGAAUUAUCGGUUUGGGGUGGGCUCGCGUCCGAUUAGGUAGUUGGUGAGGUAACGGCCCACCAAGCCGACGAUCGGUAGCCGACCUGAGAGGGUGAUCGGCCACAUUGGGACUGAGACACGGCCCAAACUCCUACGGGAGGCAGCAGUGGGGAAUAUUGGGCAAUGGAGGAAACUCUGACCCAGCAACGCCGCGUGGAGGAAGAAGGUUUUCGGAUCGUAAACUCCUGUCCUUGGAGACGAGUAGAAGACGGUAUCCAAGGAGGAAGCCCCGGCUAACUACGUGCCAGCAGCCGCGGUAAUACGUAGGGGGCAAGCGUUGUCCGGAAUAAUUGGGCGUAAAGGGCGCGUAGGCGGCUCGGUAAGUCUGGAGUGAAAGUCCUGCUUUUAAGGUGGGAAUUGCUUUGGAUACUGUCGGGCUUGAGUGCAGGAGAGGUUAGUGGAAUUCCCAGUGUAGCGGUGAAAUGCGUAGAGAUUGGGAGGAACACCAGUGGCGAAGGCGACUAACUGGACUGUAACUGACGCUGAGGCGCGAAAGUGUGGGGAGCAAACAGGAUUAGAUACCCUGGUAGUCCACACUGUAAACGAUGAAUGCUAGGUGUAGGGGGUAUCGACCCCUUCUGUGCCGCAGUCAACACAAUAAGCAUUCCGCCUGGGGAGUACGGCCGCAAGGUUGAAACUCAAAGGAAUUGACGGGGGCCCGCACAAGCAGCGGAGCAUGUGGUUUAAUUCGACGCAACGCGAAGAACCUUACCAGGUCUUGACAUCCACUUAAACUUACAGAGAUGUAAGGUGUGCUUGCACAAAGUGAGACAGGUGGUGCAUGGUUGUCGUCAGCUCGUGUCGUGA